Molecule: long non-coding RNA, 523 nt
Filed under: Jatropha curcas
Lineage: Eukaryota; Viridiplantae; Streptophyta; Magnoliopsida; Malpighiales; Euphorbiaceae
Description: long non-coding RNA (JCUR_LNC000171)
Source: RNAcentral
AACUUACAGAAAGAGUUGAACCGAUACAUACCCACAGCUGCAGCUUUUGGAGGGAUCUGCAUUGGUGCUUUGACAGUGUUGGCAGAUUUCAUGGGGGCAAUUGGUUCAGGGACAGGGAUUCUCCUUGCGGUCACAAUAAUUUAUCAGUACUUUGAAACCUUUGAGAAAGAGAGAGCCAGUGAACUUGGCUUCUUUGGCUUCUAAGCUUACAUCUUGUUUAGAGAGAUGAUGGAUGGUGGUGCCGGUGAGCUCCCCAGCAAUUUUGGCGAGCUGAGGGAUGUAUGUAGGUCCAUUUGACGCCAAAGGUAUAAGUUAGAUUUUAGCAUAGUUCAUUAGAAGCUGAAGUACAGAUAUGCAUUGCCUCUCUUCCCCGCUUCCUUUAUUUCUUGCAAUACUGACUCUCUUGUAUCAAUGGAUAUGCGGUGACCUUGCGGUAUUUGAUUUUCUAAUGUUUCCCAGUUGAGAACUUUGAAAUCAGAUGAAAAUUUCUGGGUCCUAUUGAUCUGUAAUUUUAUUGGAAUUU